RNAcentral lists this ribosomal RNA (253 nucleotides) under uncultured bacterium. RNAcentral's name for it is "partial 16S ribosomal RNA". It matches the Rfam family "Bacterial small subunit ribosomal RNA", at positions 524 to 776 of the family's 1533-position model. The record is from RNAcentral.
UACGUAGGGUGCGAGCGUUGUCCGGAAUUAUUGGGCGUAAAGAGCUCGUAGGCGGUUUGUCGCGUCGAAUGUGAAAUCCCGGGGCUCAACCCCGGGCCUGCAUUCGAUACGGGCAGACUAGAGUUCGGUAGGGGAGUCUGGAAUUCCUGGUGUAGCGGUGAAACGCGCAGAUAUCAGGAGGAACACCGGUGGCGAAGGCGGGUCUCUGGGCAACAACUGACGCUGAGGAGCGAAAGCGUGGGGAGCGAACAGG